This 117-nucleotide non-coding RNA is filed under the name Gorilla gorilla gorilla (western lowland gorilla). The record is from Rfam by way of RNAcentral. Lineage: Eukaryota; Metazoa; Chordata; Mammalia; Primates; Hominidae.
GCUGGGCAUGGUGGCUCAUGCCUGUAAUCCCAGCACUUUGGGAGGCCGAGGUGGGUGGAUCACUUGAGGUCAGGAGUUUGAGACCAGCCUGGCCAACAUGGUGAAACCCCAUCUCUA